UAUGGGCGGUUAAGGCCCUUCGGGGUACACGAGCGGCGAACGGGUGAGUAACACGUGGGUGAUCUGCCUCGCACUUCGGGAUAAGCCUGGGAAACUGGGUCUAAUACCGGAUAUGACCUUUCAGUGCAUGCUGUUGGGUGGAAAGAUUUAUCGGUGCGAGAUGGGCCCGCGGCCUAUCAGCUUGUUGGCGGGGUAACGGCCCACCAAGGCGACGACGGGUAGCCGACCUGAGAGGGUGACCGGCCACACUGGGACUGAGACACGGCCCAGACUCCUACGGGAGGCAGCAGUGGGGAAUAUUGCACAAUGGGCGAAAGCCUGAUGCAGCGACGCCGCGUGAGGGAUGACGGCCUUCGGGUUGUAAACCUCUUUCGACAGGGACGAAGCGCAAGUGACGGUACCUGUAGAAGAAGCACCGGCCAACUACGUGCCAGCAGCCGCGGUAAUACGUAGGGUGCGAGCGUUGUCCGGAAUUACUGGGCGUAAAGAGCUUGUAGGCGGUUUGUCGCGUCGUCCGUGAAAACUUGGGGCUCAACCCCAAGCUUGCGGGCGAUACGGGCAGACUUGAGUACUUCAGGGGAGACUGGAAUUCGGUCUAGCGGUUUUUUCCCAAAAAUUUUUUUAUAUGCUCUCCA
RNAcentral lists this ribosomal RNA (635 nucleotides) under Nocardia brasiliensis. RNAcentral describes it as "bacterial SSU rRNA". It matches the Rfam family "Bacterial small subunit ribosomal RNA", at positions 63 to 711 of the family's 1533-position model. The record is from RNAcentral. Lineage: Bacteria; Bacillati; Actinomycetota; Actinomycetes; Mycobacteriales; Nocardiaceae.